UACGUAGGGUCCGAGCGUUGUCCGGAAUUACUGGGCGUAAAGAGCUCGUAGGUGGUUUGUCGCGUUGUUCGUGAAAACUCACAGCUCAACUGUGGGCGUGCGGGCGAUACGGGCAGACUAGAGUACUGCAGGGGAGACUGGAAUUCCUGGUGUAGCGGUGGAAUGCGCAGAUAUCAGGAGGAACACCGGUGGCGAAGGCGGGUCUCUGGGCAGUAACUGACGCUGAGGAGCGAAAGCGCGGGGAGCAAACAGG
Molecule: ribosomal RNA, 253 nt
Filed under: uncultured bacterium
Lineage: Bacteria
Description: partial 16S ribosomal RNA
Rfam family: Bacterial small subunit ribosomal RNA
Source: RNAcentral